CAUGUAGCCGCACAACACGAGGAAAAACAAUGCAGUGGAAGUGCGGUGCAUUCGGGUCGAACGCGCGUAGCGGCACAUUUUGUUCGUCUGAAGACAACGCGCACGUGCUGCAAGACAGAGGAUGGUCUUUCCGCAGUCAUUCCGCUGGUCACUCAAUGCGCAUAUCAGCCGGGCAAGCCAAGCAACUCAGGUGGAUAUUUCCUGGUUCUAGAAAUUCUGCCUGAUCGUUGCUUGUUUUUUUCUUUGACCACAUCAAAUACUCUGACGGGAAAUUCAUCUAGUGUAUUGGAAAUUAAUGAAUUAUUGAAUUGAGGCCCAACCCACUCAACAUAGCGAAAACAAGCGGAAGGCUUCUCCAGACAAGGUGACCCGCCGACUGCGCCGGGUAGUUCGAGUAGCAAAGUGCUUCUCUAGUCGUUUUGUCUGCAUAUGAGGUAAUUCGUAGAUCAAUUCGGGUUGUCGCGGCACCGGUUCUUUUGUGUCCGUCUGUGCGUGAUACUUUCAGCCGCAGCACACUACUGCAGCCGUUUCCGCAAUGUGGGACUUUGUAGGCACUAGUAUCUCACCAGAGUGCGACGAAUUGCCACCUCGCGUAAGGAGCUGACUGGGGUAGAGGAAAACGCCACGAUACGGAGAGAGGGGGUUCUUCACACUGCUCGACAUGAAGGCAAGCUGAUAAACACAACGAUCGCGCUGUGUUGAUGUUAUUGCCAUUCCUUCCUCAUCACGAUCUUCCACUCUGCAAACCCGAGCUGCACUCCUGGGGGAUCCGAAAUUGGUGUACCACAUCCAAGCAUGUAUAUAUGUACACGCGUUAUAGUGGCGAUCUUACUUGCAUCGAAACAUGUCCCAAUGAAUGUGGGCACCACAAGUUGCACGCACAGGGAAGAUGUACCAACGCCCGGAGAAUUUCGAGAACUAGGAAAUAUCCACCUCAGUUGCUUGGUUUGCCCGGCUGACAUGCGGAUGAGGUGACCAGGGGCAUGACUGUCGAGGGACCGUGCACGUGUCUUGCGUCAUGUGUGCGUACAGCCUUUAGCAACUGUAGUUGCAUGUCUACAACGAAGCAUGAAUACAGGGUGCACUGCGACACUGAAGAUGCAAGUCUGUCUCUUUCGUCGUGUACACAGGAGAGCGACCACCUUCCCAGGCUACAUUCUCCGGUUGCGCUCAUCUACUUCUGACGUCAACGUGAGGGUCUCUCUCUUGCUCGAGGUAUUUGAGCCAACGGCCGCAGGCAUCAUAGGUCGGGCUACAUUGUCGACGAACAACAAGGGUAAAAUAAUUACAUAUAAUGAGCACCGUAGGGGCGCGCAGUAUGAACUAAAUGUGUUUGAGCAAAGUGGUGCGCGCAACCUGUGUUCAUGUUUUAGGUGCGGUUGUGCCUCUGCGGAGGAUCUUUCUAGAGUCAUCAUCGAAUGUAAGUGAUGUGAUAAGCCUAUAUAUCCCAUAUAUGCCACUCGCACGCGCACAAACUUCUCCAGUCCCCGACGACAACGUACGAGUAUCCCAUCGUGGUUCCACAUGUCGCGUACAACCACUGAGGAAACAUGUGAAAACGUUGACUGUAGCAAAUGCAAUCGAAAAUGUCUUGGGUAUCGCUUGUGUGAUGCAAAGAAAAAUCCGUCUGCUUGGAACUUAAGGUGUGGCCGGGGUUCUUCCUUGUCCAAAAAGAGUCAUCCACAGCCCGCAUAAGUUCAUUCUGCUGGAACUUCUAUACUUCUGUGCCUUAAACUACUUGCCUUGGUACGCUCACGCCCAGACAAACGUUUUCUCGUCUAAGACUUCAGAAUCUCGUAAUACGUGAAGCUGUUGCUAGUUUUCAAGAGUGUCCCACGAGCUUCUGAUCAAAAC
RNAcentral lists this long non-coding RNA (1854 nucleotides) under Toxoplasma gondii VEG. Lineage: Eukaryota; Apicomplexa; Conoidasida; Eucoccidiorida; Sarcocystidae. The record is from RNAcentral.